This 589-nucleotide ribosomal RNA is filed under the name uncultured bacterium. RNAcentral's name for it is "partial 16S ribosomal RNA". It matches the Rfam family "Bacterial small subunit ribosomal RNA", at positions 355 to 1375 of the family's 1533-position model. The record is from RNAcentral.
UGGGGAAUUUUGGACAAUGGGCGAAAGCCUGAUCCAGCAAUGCCGCGUGUGUGAAGAAGGCCUUCGGGUUGUAAAGCACUUUUGUCCGGAAAGAAAUCCUUGGCUCUAAUACAGUCGGGGGAUGACGGUACCGGAAGAAUAAGCACCGGCUAACUACGUGCCAGCAGCCGCGGUAAUACGUAGGGUGCAAGCGUUAAUCGGAAUUACUGGGCGUAAAGCGUGCGCAGGCGGUUUGCUAAGACCGAUGUGAAAUCCCCGGGCUCAACCUGGGGAACUGCAUUUGGGUGACUGGCAGGCUAGAGUAUGGCAGAGGGGGGUAGAAUUCCACGUGUAGCAGUGAAAAUGCGUAGAGAUGUGGAGGAAUACCGAUGGCGAAGGCAGCCCCCUGGGGCCAAUACUGACGCUCAUGCACGAAAGCGUGGGGAGCAAACAGGAUUAGAUACCCUGGUAGUCCGCGCCCUAAACGAUGUCAACUAGUUGUUGGGGAUUCAUUUCCUAGUAACGUAGCUAACGCGUGAAGUUGACCGCCUGGGGAGUACGGUCGCAAGAUUAAAACUUAAAUGAAUUGACGGGGUCAUAGCUGUUUCCU